Cyprinus carpio (common carp) is the source of this 1180-nucleotide long non-coding RNA. Lineage: Eukaryota; Metazoa; Chordata; Actinopteri; Cypriniformes; Cyprinidae. The record is from Ensembl.
UUCUUCAGAAAUUCUCCUUUUGUGUUUCACAGAAGAAACAAUCGGGUUUGGAAUGACAUGAGGAUGAGUAAAUGAGACAGAAUAUUAAUUUUUGGGUGACCUAUUCGUGAACAAGUAGAACCAGGUCUGCAAAUCUGAAAUGAACUUGUAAUGGAGGCCAAAUCCAGCGUUUCCUCAGAGGCUGGAGUGUGUGACAGCAGCUACAGAGGACACGCUGUGAAACUCAGGCGAUGACAGGCACAGAUCACCUCUAAAAAUACCCUUCACUCAGGAAACGGCACAUCACAAACGCGUACACCAUCAGGGAACAUCCGUGGCCCAAUUUGACACCAUCUCUGUUUACCGUUCACCACCACAUCCUGGAGUCCUGUAAAAUGCAAGUUGUAAACAUUUAGGUCUUUUUUGUUUUACAUGUCGCUGUUUGUUGAAACGUGAUUUGACUAAACCUGCUCGUCUGAGUUUGUGACACUCGCACGUGCGGGAUGGUGCCAGUUUGCCAGAGGCAUAUUCUGAGUGUGGCAGCUAUCAGAAACCCACAGUUUUUCUUGAUGUUAGCUGUUGGGACGGCUUUGAUAGAGGAAGGGUGGGCUGUCACUGGGAGUUUGGAGUGUGUUCGGUGACGAGGAACAUAACAAAGUUAUUUCUAUAGACAGGACAGUGAAGAGAAUGCCUGAGGAGCGAACACGCAUGCACACACACGCACAAGCAGAGAGUCGCCGAGUGCUGCGGGGACUGAUGUCCCCAGACGCUCCACAUGGACACAGUAAGGAAGAGGUCAUGGCUAUAUUCAGCAAGGUCAUCAAAGAGCCUGGAGUCUCUUUCUCUCAAACUGGCUCUCAGUCAGCGCUCAUCAUCAUCAUCAUCAUGCUGUUUGGUUCAGGUCACCUGUCCUUGACCCCUCUGCUUUGUGCGCUCUGCUUUCUGGAAGUUUCUGUGAUUUGCUGUGCAGUGCGGUUCAUCGAAUCCCUCAGAGGGCCUUUCACCUGUCUCCUAACAGCUCCCAGAAUGCAACGCUGCACAGGACAACACACGCCUGGCAAUUAGAGGGAACUGGAGUGCUCUUCUGAGAGCCGAAAUAAUUGGAUGUUAGAGCGUGUACGUGUGGACUCCGAACUGCCUGACUUGAUUUACUUUUCUCAUAGUAAUUACUGUGGUUGAAUAAAAUAGAGCAAUUUUGGCA